This 253-nucleotide ribosomal RNA is filed under the name uncultured bacterium. Its description in RNAcentral is "partial 16S ribosomal RNA". It matches the Rfam family "Bacterial small subunit ribosomal RNA", at positions 524 to 776 of the family's 1533-position model. The record is from RNAcentral.
GACGAACCGUGCGAACGUUGUUCGGAAUCACUGGGCUUAAAGGGCGCGUAGGCGGGCCAUAAAGUCAGGGGUGAAAUCCUCCAGCUUAACUGGAGAACUGCCUUUGAUACUGAUGGUCUCGAGUAAGGUAGGGGCAUGCGGAACUGAUGGUGGAGCGGUGAAAUGUGUUGAUAUCAUCAGGAACUCCGGUGGCGAAGGCGGCAUGCUGGACCUUCACUGACGCUGAGGCGCGAAAGCUAGGGGAGCGAACGGG